CUCUGUAACAAAUAAUAGUAAAAAAUAAACGAGGGUGAUAAGUUAUGUUUACUUUUGUUUCUGAUGCCAGACAUAGGUUCAGAGGAUUGAAGAGGAAGAUCCAAGGAGCUAGCCUCUCAAGAGGAGUGAAUACCUAGUCACUGCAUUUCUCCAUUUGAACUGGCCACCUUUUAAGUGGUCAUUAGCCACAUGUGGCUACUAGCCAUGGGACUUGGACAGCAGAGGUGUGGAAAGUCCGCACAUUCUUCCACUCAAAGGAUAUUCCCCUGCCUUUUUGAAGAUAAUGACCAUUCAUCUGAGUACACAGUUCGCAGAAUCCCUUUGCAGUGGCACAUGCGGGCCAAGGUAGUAGAGCAUAAUAGAUCUCUAGAAGGCCAGUAGAAACAGCAGGUGAUGGCCCCAGCUCCUGUCCCUCCAUGCAGAACAUCUGUCAACUCCUGUGGACAUAUUUUCCUCCCCCAUUCCUAUGAAAGUUUCUCAGUUGUUACAUGGCAUGGACAAAUGCUUUUGGCUGGUGGCAUGGACACACUGGACAAACUUGGCCUUCGCUAAAACAAAGACUGGAUUCAAUUACUCAAACUGAAACAGGAAUUCUUGGAUGAACAAGCCUGCCAGGAAGUCCCACUGGAGGUACUCAACCUGUGCCUCUUCCCUCUUUGGACCAAGAACCUUAACUUGAGAGAUGAAUGGCUUAUCCAAGGUUAUGGCAAGGUUACACAGAGCUGAAA
Long non-coding RNA from Mustela lutreola (European mink), 728 nucleotides. RefSeq lists it as uncharacterized. NCBI's taxonomy places the organism in Eukaryota, Metazoa, Chordata, Mammalia, Carnivora, Mustelidae. The record is from RefSeq and is a predicted model, not a curated record. The transcript has 4 exons.